This 537-nucleotide long non-coding RNA is filed under the name Androctonus crassicauda. Lineage: Eukaryota; Metazoa; Arthropoda; Arachnida; Scorpiones; Buthidae. The record is from RNAcentral.
AAUAAAUAUAUCUAAAAUAUAUAAUAAACAAUUUUUGAAACCAUUGUUAAGAUUACCUGAAAAAAAAGAUGCAGCUCUCAUUGAUCCAGAAACUGAUUGGGGCUCUGAACUAUAUUAGAUACUGCUAUGUGGCUCAUAGUGACAUGAAGUUUGGCUAUCCUUGUAUUAGACUGUGGAAAGUAUCUUUGGAUAUUCUGUAUCAUUGGAUGCAUUUCCUUGCAUCCCAUAAAUAUUUGAACAUGAUCCUUAAACCAUUCCUUGUGAGCUUUGCACAUAAAAAUAUUCUUCUUGCUAAAAAAAUUCAUGCCAUUCAGAUACAGUCAGAAUGUAGGAGGGCAAUGCUUGAUCUGAAACAUAUCUAGAUAGGAUCUAGUGAAGAAGAUAUGUUUAUUAGAGCUAAUGAUGUCCAUGAGAACAAAUCUUCAUAUGAUACUAUUAUAGCCAGUCUGUUUUCUGUGCAGAUGGAAGCUAAAAUUAUUCAACUGAAUUCAUUAAUUAUUUAAUCAUUUUUUAUAUUGAUUAUGAUGGUUUUUUAGC